ACGCUAGCGAUAGGCUUAACACAUGCAAGUCGAGGGGCAGCAUGGUCUUAGCUUGCUAAGACUGAUGGCGACCGGCGCACGGGUGCGUAACGCGUAUACAACUUGCCUCACAGAGGGGGAUAACCCGUCGAAAGACGGACUAAUACCGCGUACACUUACAGGAGGGCAUCCUCCAGUAAGGAAAUGAAAUUCGCUGUGAGAUAGGCAUGCGUCCCAUUAGCUAGUUGGUGAGGUAACGGCUCACCAAGGCGACGAUGGGUAGGGGAACUGAGAGGUUGAACCCCCACACUGGUACUGAGACACGGACCAGACUCCUACGGGAGGCAGCAGUGAGGAAUAUUGGUCAAUGGGCGAGAGCCUGAACCAGCCAAGUCGCGUGAAGGAUGACUGUCUUAUGGAUUGUAAACUUCUUUUAUACGGGAAUAACAAGAGCCACGAGUGGCUCCCUGCAUGUACCGUAUGAAUAAGCAUCGGCUAACUCCGUGCCAGCAGCCGCGGUAAUACGGAGGAUGCGAGCGUUAUCCGGAUUUAUUGGGUUUAAAGGGUGCGUAGGCGGCCUGUUAAGUCAGCGGUGAAAUCUAGGAGCUUAACUCCUAAAUUGCCAUUGAUACUGGCGGGCUUGAGUGUAGAUGAGGUAGGCGGAAUGCGUGGUGUAGCGGUGGAAUGCAUAGAUAUCACGCAGAACUCCGAUUGCGAAGGCAGCUUACUAAGGUACAACUGACGCUGUAGCACGAAAGCGUGGGUAUCAAACAGGAUUAGAUACCCUGGUAGUCCACGCAGUAAACGAUGAUAACUGGGCGUAUGCGAUAUACAGUAUGCUCCUAAGCGAAAGCGUUAAGUUAUCCACCUGGGGAGUACGCCGGCAACGGUGAAACUCAAAGGAAUUGACGGGGGCCCGCACAAGCGGAGG
RNAcentral lists this ribosomal RNA (910 nucleotides) under uncultured bacterium. Its description in RNAcentral is "bacterial SSU rRNA". It matches the Rfam family "Bacterial small subunit ribosomal RNA", at positions 33 to 935 of the family's 1533-position model. The record is from RNAcentral.